Molecule: ribosomal RNA, 439 nt
Filed under: uncultured bacterium
Lineage: Bacteria
Description: partial 16S ribosomal RNA
Rfam family: Bacterial small subunit ribosomal RNA
Source: RNAcentral
CCUACGGGUGGCAGCAGUGGGGGUAUUGCACAAUGGGGGGAACCCUGAUGCAGCGACGCCGCGUGGGUGAAGAAGCGCCUCGGCGCGUAAAGCCCUGUCAGCAGGGAAGAAAAAGACGGUACCUGAAGAAGAAGGCCCGGCUAACCAAGUGCCAGCAGGCGCGGGAAUAAGUAGGGGGCAAGCGUUAUCCGGGUUUACUGGGGGGAAAGGGGGCGCAGGCGGCGAUGCAAGCCAGGAGUGAAAGCCCGGGGCCCAACCCCGGGACUGCUCUUGGAACUGCGUGGCUGGAGUGCAGGAGGGGCAGGCGGAAUUCCUGGUGUAGCGGUGAAAUGCGUAGAUAUCAGGAGGAACACCGGUGGCGAAGGCGGCCUGCUGGACUGCAACUGACGUUGAGGCCCGAAAGCGUGGGGAGCAAACAGGAUUAGAUACCCGGGUAGUC